Molecule: long non-coding RNA, 506 nt
Organism: Austrofundulus limnaeus
Lineage: Eukaryota; Metazoa; Chordata; Actinopteri; Cyprinodontiformes; Rivulidae
Exons: 2
Source: RefSeq, a predicted model, not a curated record
CUGUUCUAUUAUUGUUUAGAUACAUUUAAGAUAUUAGAAAAGAGAAGAGACUUUGACUGUGUCUCAGUUGACGGGCUGCAUCAUCAUGAGUACGUGGCCCACCUGGACCACCUGGUCCACAUUCUUUCCAGUCCAGUGUAGUGGAGCCUCAGAGCCUCACCAGUUCACGUGACCAGUGGGUGGACUGGUUCCUGCAGCGACUGCAGCAGGAGCCRUGGGCACUGGGCGGUCUCGUGGUCAUGGGCGUGUUCGUGCUGGGAACGCUGUCUCUCGUGCUCUUCGCUCUGCUGUUUGGAUGCUGCAGCCGCCCAAACCAAGACAAGCAAAGAAAGAAGAACCAGCAGAAGAGGUCAAAGAAUGCAGUGAUUUAGAUGUGAUCUGCUGACUUUUGUAGCUUCAGAUCUGUUAGAAUUUUAUUUUGGAGUUUUUACAAAACAGACACAAUGUAUGACCUUGUUUUUAUUUUUUUAAUCACCAGCCACAAUAAAAAGCAGACAGUCAUGUAA